This 78-nucleotide transfer RNA is filed under the name Camelus bactrianus (Bactrian camel). It matches the Rfam family "tRNA". From Rfam's summary of the family: Transfer RNA (tRNA) molecules are approximately 80 nucleotides in length. Their secondary structure includes four short double-helical elements and three loops (D, anti-codon, and T loops). RNAcentral also lists the same sequence under 1 other name. The record is from Rfam by way of RNAcentral. Lineage: Eukaryota; Metazoa; Chordata; Mammalia; Artiodactyla; Camelidae.
GUGGGUAGAGCUCAGUGGUAGAGUGUGUGCUUGGCAUGCACGAGGUUCUGGGUUCUGGUUCAAUCCCCAGUACAUCCU